Molecule: non-coding RNA, 188 nt
Organism: Salvelinus sp. IW2-2015
Lineage: Eukaryota; Metazoa; Chordata; Actinopteri; Salmoniformes; Salmonidae
Source: RefSeq, a predicted model, not a curated record
GGUGACCUAAAGGUUAUGAGGCAUCGGCAGGUCAUUCAUCCUCUGUUGCAAGAAGUUGGACUGAAGAUGAGUUUACUGGAUCCCACUCUGGUCAUUGACCUGCAGUACCUAGGGGUUCGUCUACCUCUACCCUUUUUAUGUCCAGAACCAAACUCUCCAGGGUUGGCAUCUUCUCCAAGUGGUUCAGU